GCACAGAGUGCGGCUCAGUGGCAGAGUAUCUGGUUUUGUAUGCAGAAGGUUCUAGGUUCAAUCCUUGGUAUUUGCA
RNAcentral lists this transfer RNA (76 nucleotides) under Sphaerodactylus townsendi. RNAcentral describes it as "tRNA-Thr". Lineage: Eukaryota; Metazoa; Chordata; Lepidosauria; Squamata; Sphaerodactylidae. The record is from RNAcentral.